GGGGGUGUACCGGAUUCGACCUUGUGUCCUAGCGCGCGGCUGCAUGUCGGAGAUAAUGGAGGCUCCGUAUCAAUCCAUUACAAAUAUUAAUUGGCGAAGAACAAUUCGCUCUUGCUGCAUAGUUCAGCAACGUUGCUACCCAGACACCUGCUAAGGGCUAGCGGCGACGACUAGCAGGCCAUAACUGAUGAGACGGCUCUCGAUUAUCAGUUGUAUUUAGAGAGCCUGGAAACUGAAAAGCUCGCUUUUACAGCGCUUCAGGGACGACAAUAAAUUAAAAGCUAUGCAUGUAGACGCCACGCGUAAAAGCACGAGGGACGCGGGUUCGACUCCCGCCACCUCCACCA
RNAcentral lists this transfer-messenger RNA (347 nucleotides) under Opitutia bacterium UBA7350. Its description in RNAcentral is "Opitutae bacterium UBA7350 transfer-messenger RNA, SsrA". It matches the Rfam family "transfer-messenger RNA". Rfam says of the family: Bacterial tmRNA, also known as 10Sa RNA or SsrA, is named for its dual tRNA and mRNA-like properties. Its role is to liberate the mRNA from a stalled ribosome. Lineage: Bacteria; Pseudomonadati; Verrucomicrobiota; Opitutia. RNAcentral also lists the same sequence under 1 other name. The record is from RNAcentral.